This 688-nucleotide ribosomal RNA is filed under the name Miriquidica garovaglioi. RNAcentral describes it as "SSU rRNA". It matches the Rfam family "Bacterial small subunit ribosomal RNA", at positions 493 to 1170 of the family's 1533-position model. The record is from RNAcentral. Lineage: Eukaryota; Fungi; Ascomycota; Lecanoromycetes; Lecanorales; Lecanoraceae.
UUGACCAAAUUACGUGCCAGCAGUCGCGGUAAUACGUAGGAGACUAGUGUUAUUCAUCUUUAAUAGGUUUAAAGGGUACCUAGACGGUAAAUCAAGCCUUCUUAGGGACUAAUUAACUAGAGUUACUUAUGAGGGGGUAUUAAAGUACUGCUGGUGUAGAGAUGAAAUUCUGUCAUACCUCUUUUCGUAUGAAAAAUAAUGGCACAGGUAUAGGCGAAAGCAUCCCCUUAUGUGAUAACUGACGUUGAAGGACGAAGGCUUUGUGUCGCGAACAGGAUUAGAUACCCCAGUAGUCAAAGCAGAAAAUGAUGAAUGUCAUAGAUUAGAUAUAAGAUUUUUUAUUCUAUAAAUGAAAGUGUAAGCAUUCCACCUCAAGAGUAAUUUGGCAACAUUGGAACUGAAAUCAUUAGACCGUUUCUGAAACCAGUAGUGAAGUAUGUUGUUUAAUUUGUUAAUCCGCAAAAAACCUUACCACAAUUUGAAUAUUUAUAUAGCUUUUCUCUCUUUGACCUAUAGAUUGAGAGAUAGAUUGAUAGAUAAAGGAGGGAAAAGGAUAUAUUUACAAGCGUUGCACGGCUGUCUUUAGUUAAUGUCGCGAGAUUAUGGUUAGUACCAUUAAAUUAACGUAAACCCUUACUUUAUUUUUUAUAUGAAGUUGUCCCCGCUAUACUGGAUAKGAUAGGUUGGA